GCAUGAAGUCGGAAGUUGCUAGUAAUCGCAGAUCAGCAUGCUGCGGUGAAUACGUUCCCGGGCCUUGUACACACCGCCCGUCACACCAUGGGAGUCGGUAACACCCGAAGUCAGGAGCCUGACCUUUUUAGGAGGGCACUGCCGAAGGUGGGAUUGAUGACUGGGGUGAAGUCGUAACAAGGUAUC
RNAcentral lists this ribosomal RNA (186 nucleotides) under uncultured bacterium. Its description in RNAcentral is "partial 16S ribosomal RNA". It matches the Rfam family "Bacterial small subunit ribosomal RNA", at positions 1318 to 1500 of the family's 1533-position model. The record is from RNAcentral.